Apis mellifera (honey bee) is the source of this 1387-nucleotide long non-coding RNA. RefSeq lists it as uncharacterized. Lineage: Eukaryota; Metazoa; Arthropoda; Insecta; Hymenoptera; Apidae. The record is from RefSeq and is a predicted model, not a curated record. The transcript is spliced from 3 exons.
AUCUUUUAUGAAAUUUAUAAAUUGCAAGUUUAUUCAUUCUUCUCAUUCCAUUACCACAAUAUUAAAUUUUCAAGUCAGGUUAACUGAGAUUUGUCGAAGGUUCCAGCAGCUCUAAAACAGUAGAGGAAAUUCAAUGUGAUUCAGUUCACGUUGAAACGAAUCGGUAUAACACAAAGUGUAUCGACAUCCGGCCGGAAUCGAGAUUCAGUGUCUUGGAUCGUGAACGAUCCAUUCGAACCGGUGGAAAACCGUUUUCGGUAUGCCGGUUCGGUGGCUCCAAUGAAAAAUAGGUUACCUUUUAGUAAACCGUUUUACCAGUACUCUGUACCCGGAGGGAAUGAAGAUCAAUAAAACAGCGAGAGAAAAAGAACGAUUUGAGGGUGGCCCCGGCGUUUCAAGGCGACGACGGCAGGGCAGGGGUGGACAAAAUAGGGGUGGGUAGGGGGGAGGGGAACGAUGCCUCGUUCAAUUUAAAUGAAACUCGUAUUAACGGUGUGAAAUCAGCGAAUUCAAUUAGGCGAGCUUUUAUUAAUACAACAUGAUUAAUUAAACAAUACCGUGGGAGGAGGGGGGGGAGGGGCGGUAGUGGAAGGAGUAGUGGAAGGUUCAGGGAGUCGCAAAGGGUUGUCGGGAGAGCGGCAGAUGUUCGUGGCGUCAACCAAAUUAUUAAAUGUCAGAAACAAUUGAAAAUUUGAAUGCGGCGGUUGAAAAAGACACGCACCCCACGUUAUUCACGAUUAUGCGGUUGCUGCCACGACCUUGACUUUAACGGGGUCGGAUCCGGAGCACUUAACCGCUCUCUCAUUAACGUGGAAGCAGAUGUGAAUGCAAGGCGCAUGCAGCCACGGUAAAAUAUCGUGUUUUAACUAUUACUCAGCCACUCGAAAUUUCAUAUAAUGCCUGUCAAUCAUCUGGAAGGGAGUUAUUUGUCUCAGGCAAUCGACGCCCCGACGAGACAGCAACCGUGAACGAUUAUGCACGGAUUUUUAAAGGCUAAUCGAUCAUCCGUGAUCCCUUCGAUUUUUCAAUAUUCAGCGAGAAGAUCCGGUGCUGGCAGGGUUAAUUGAAAAGUUUCCAGGCGAGGAUGGAGGGAUUAAUGAAAUAUUUUGUUGUUGAUAAUGGACUGGUGAAAAUGUGUUCAUAAGUGGAGCGGAAUUCCCCUUUGUUCUUGCCGAAAGGAACGAGGACGAGAGUUGCUUUCUACCUGAAGAAAAAUGACACUGGAGGAACUUAAGCGAAAAAUCAUCCCUCUCGAAAAACGAGCCUAUCCAAAUUCGACCACGAUAUUAAAUCUUGGAACGAGAUGCCUGAGAUUCUAUUUCGUGCAAUGGAUUUAGAGAUUAGGCCGCAGAAUAGCGCAGCUGUGUUGACUACAAAUCUCCACCUG